UACAGAGGGGGCAAGCGUUGUUCGGAAUUACUGGGCGUAAAGGGCGCGUAGGCGGCCUGCUAAGUCGAACGUGAAAUCCCCGGGCUUAACCCGGGAACUGCGUCCGAUACUGGUGGGCUUGAAUCCGGGAGAGGGAUGUGGAAUUCCAGGUGUAGCGGUGAAAUGCGCAGAUAUCAGGAGGAACACCAACGGCGAAGGCAGCUCUCUGGGCCAACACUGACGCUCAUGCACGAAAGCGUGGGGAGCAAACAGG
RNAcentral lists this ribosomal RNA (253 nucleotides) under uncultured bacterium. Its description in RNAcentral is "partial 16S ribosomal RNA". It matches the Rfam family "Bacterial small subunit ribosomal RNA", at positions 524 to 776 of the family's 1533-position model. The record is from RNAcentral.